GGAAGUGAAAAAGAGAAGCCGGCGGCCUUAUCGGCGCAGUCGACGGCAGCUACUUAACUCUGGAGGGCCCCCACCCCUCCCGCUACAACAGCCUACACCGUGCGGCCGGAACCAGGAGGCUCGUCUGGCACCCGAGCGGCUGCUGGGCCGGAGGAUCCCCGAUGGCCUUCACGCCCCUCUGAUCAGGAAACUGAGAGAGGAAAAUGGUCAGUCCCAGCUAGGAAAUCCUAUCUAUCUGGAGUAGCCAGGAAUUAGGAGAGGUUGAGAAACCAAUCGAGAUCAUGCAGCUGGUAAGGGGCAGAGCCAGGACUGGAACCCAGCUAUUUUAUAACUCCAGUUCUAGAACUUGAAGCCGCCCACGAGACACUCUCAAUUGCAGAGAAUAAAAUGAGCUGAGAAAAAUGUCAAAA
Molecule: long non-coding RNA, 410 nt
Organism: Myotis lucifugus (little brown bat)
Lineage: Eukaryota; Metazoa; Chordata; Mammalia; Chiroptera; Vespertilionidae
Exons: 2
Source: RefSeq, a predicted model, not a curated record